AGUGAAUAGAUACCCCGGUAGUCCACGCUGUAAACGAUGAGUGCUGGACGUUGGCGGGUUUACCUGCCGGUGUCGCAGCUAAACGCGUUAAGCACUCCGCCUGGGGAGUACGGCCGCAAGGUUAAAAACUCAAAGGAAUUGACGGGGGUCCCGCACAAGCGGUGGAGCAUGUGGUUUAAUUCGACGCAACGCGCAGAACCUUACCAGCCCUUGACAUGGGCGGACGGGGUUCCAGAGAUGGACUCUUUCUCGCAAGAGACCGCUACACAGGUGCUGCAUGGCUGUCGUCAGCUCGUGUCGUGAGAUGUUGGGUUAAGUCCCGCAACGUAGCGCAACCCGUCGUCUCCGAGUUGCCAUCGGG
RNAcentral lists this ribosomal RNA (361 nucleotides) under uncultured bacterium. RNAcentral's name for it is "bacterial SSU rRNA". It matches the Rfam family "Bacterial small subunit ribosomal RNA", at positions 773 to 1125 of the family's 1533-position model. The record is from RNAcentral.